Molecule: ribosomal RNA, 214 nt
Filed under: uncultured bacterium
Lineage: Bacteria
Description: partial 16S ribosomal RNA
Rfam family: Bacterial small subunit ribosomal RNA
Source: RNAcentral
UACGAAGGGUGCAAACGUUGCUCGGAAUUAUUGGGCGUAAAGCGCACGUAGGCGGCUUUGCAAGUCGGAUGUGAAAUCCCUCGGCUUAACCAAGGAAGUGCAUCCGAAACUGCAGAGCUUGAGUACUUAAGAGGAUCGCGGAAUUCCCGGUGUAGAGGUGAAAUUCGUAGAUAUCGGGAGGAACACCAGUGGCGAAGGCGGCGAUCUGGGAAGA